GUUAAAAAGUGAGUAGAGUUAUUUCUUCAGCGGUUUGAACGGGGUAUGACUGCACAAGUGCAUGGUGGUUGGCCAGUGAGAACAGCGGGAAGAGUUUAAAAAGAAGGCAGAUUUACGGAGCGGGCGAUGGUGUUGAGGCCAGGUAUUUCCUUUUCAAAGGGUAAUCAGGGCAAUCCAUCCGCAAUUCCAUGAUUAGUUGUCCUCUAGAAUUUGAUCUUGUAAUCGCUUCGCCAAGAAACAGCCCAUCUCUGCAUUCAUGAUACUGCUGUUAGUGGAACACUCUUCUGUGGAUUGAAAAUGGACAUCAGUGGUUGAUGAUCAGUAAUGAGGAUGCUGUGGAUGUCAGCCUUUUCUAUUCACUUCCUUAUAUUUCUCCCUCACAAUCAACAACUCUGAGUAAGUUAUUGACCAUGGC
Mobula hypostoma (lesser devil ray) is the source of this 415-nucleotide long non-coding RNA. RefSeq lists it as uncharacterized. The transcript is spliced from 3 exons. NCBI's taxonomy places the organism in Eukaryota, Metazoa, Chordata, Chondrichthyes, Myliobatiformes, Myliobatidae. The record is from RefSeq and is a predicted model, not a curated record.